Molecule: ribosomal RNA, 300 nt
Filed under: uncultured Clostridium sp.
Lineage: Bacteria; Bacillati; Bacillota; Clostridia; Eubacteriales; Clostridiaceae
Description: bacterial SSU rRNA
Rfam family: Bacterial small subunit ribosomal RNA
Source: RNAcentral
GGGAAUGCCAUGGAAGUGGCUGGGGUAAGACGGAGGGUCCGAGGGUUAAUUGGGAAUACUGUGAGGAAAGCGUUAGCAGGCGGUUUGUGAAGCGAGAUGUGAAAGCCCUGGGCUCAAGCUAGGAAUAGCAUUUCGAACUGGCGAACUAGAGUCUUGUAGAGGGGGGUAGAAUUCCAGGUGUAGCGGUGGAAUGCGUAGAGAUCUGGAGGAAUACCGGUGGCGAAGGCGGCCCCCUGGACAAAGACUGACGCUCAGGUGUGAAAGCGUGGGGAGCAAACAGGAUUAGAUACCCUGGUAGUC